Long non-coding RNA from Anarrhichthys ocellatus (wolf-eel), 1236 nucleotides. RefSeq lists it as uncharacterized. The record is from RefSeq and is a predicted model, not a curated record. Lineage: Eukaryota; Metazoa; Chordata; Actinopteri; Perciformes; Anarhichadidae. The transcript has 3 exons.
UAUGUGUCAGACAUUAACGGUAUAUAUUGACAUGUGUCAGACAUAUUAACGGUAUAUAUUGACAUGUGUCGGACAUAGUAACGGUAUAUAUUGACAUGUGUCGGACAUAUUAACGGUAUACAUUGACAUGUGUCGGGCAUAUUAACGGUAUAUAUUGACAUGUGUCGGACAUUAACGGUAUAUAUUGACAUGUGUCGGGCAUAUUAAUGGUAUACAUUAACAUGUGUCAGACAUAUUGACGGUAUAUAUUGACAUGUGUCGGGCAUAUUAACAGUAUAUAUUAACAUGUCUCGGACAUAUUAACGGUAUAUAUUGACAUGUGUCGGGCAUAUUGACGGUAUAUAUUGACAUGUGUCGGAAACAUUAACAGUAUAUAUUAACAUGUGUCGGACAUAUUAACAGUAUAUAUUAACAGGGUUAGGGUCAUCAGCUCAUUGUCGUCGCUCACUUCUCAUCAGAGGCAGACCAUUAUAUCAGAAAGUACAAUGACAAGAAUCUUCCUGCUGGUCUUAAUUGACUGAAGCUCCUCCAGUCAGUGUUACUCUCAGCAGCUCAGAUUCUGGAGGGUCCCCUUUAUACACAGUAAAUUAAUAUAUGUGUGUAUAAAGUAUUAUGUUCAUUCAUGUUAACUCUCUUUGUGUUUAGUUUUUCAGUUCUUCCUGUUCUUCUGGAGACUUCGAUCUGGACAGUUUGGAAACUCUGCUGUCUGAAGAAGUCUCUAAUGGAGGUGUGGAAAGCACCAUGAACACAGGGAAGCAGCUCGUGCAGUACACGCCCACACCCAUCCUGAUGUCUGAACCAAUCAGCACCGACCUGCCCUCCCUCCUAGAGCUGGAGGCGGGGCCUUUCUUCAUCUCUGACCCGCCCACCGAUGACCCUGCUGCCGCUCUGCUAAGCCAUGCCCACCUGGACUCUGACCUCUGACAUCUGCAGGAAAGGGCGUGGCAUGUGAUUUAUCGGUCACCAUGGCAACAGGACUCAGCAGCAGCGAUAGGAUGAAAUCGAUCUGUUGAUCGAUCAAGUUAUAUUAUGCAGAUUAAUAUUAACCAGUUUAUAUACCUGUCUUCUUCUACUCUUUUAUUUAGCGUUUGUUUUUUCUUCUUUGCUGCUUUUAUUAAAAAGUUUGUUUGACGCUUGCUGUUAAAAACACCUGUAGUCCAAUCAGAACAGGUCUGAGGAUCAUGUGACUUCUGCAUGUCUUUGUUUUCAUGUGUCAAAUAUAGAAGAUGAAGAGAA